This 258-nucleotide ribosomal RNA is filed under the name uncultured bacterium. Its description in RNAcentral is "partial 16S ribosomal RNA". It matches the Rfam family "Bacterial small subunit ribosomal RNA", at positions 100 to 353 of the family's 1533-position model. The record is from RNAcentral.
GGACGGGUGAGUAACGCGUAGGUAACCUGCCUGGUAGUGGGGGAUAACUAUUGGAAACGAUAGCUAAUACCGCAUAACAGUAGAUAUCGCAUGAUAGCUGCUUGAAAGGGGCAAUUGCUCCACUACAAGAUGGACCUGCGUUGUAUUAGCUAGUAGGUGAGGUAACGGCUCACCUAGGCGACGAUACAUAGCCGACCUGAGAGGGUGAUCGGCCACACUGGGACUGAGACACGGCCCAGACUCCUACGGGAGGCAGCA